AUACGGAGGAUGCAAGCGUUAUCCGGAUUUAUUGGGUUUAAAGGGUGCGUAGGCGGUUUGCUAAGCGGGAGGUGAAAUGCCGGCGCUCAACGUCGGCAGUGCCUCCCGAACUGGUGGACUUGAAUGACUCUGCCGUGGGAGGAAUGUGUAGUGUAGCGGUGAAAUGCUUAGAGAUUAAACAGAACACCGAUUGCGAAGGCAUCUCACGAAGGGUUGAUUGACGCUGAGGCACGAAAGCGUGGGGAUCAAACAGGAUUAGAUACCCUGGUAGUCCACGCAGUAAACGAUGAUGGCUAACCGCUGGGCUUAUCAGUUCAGUGGCCAAGCGAAAGCGAUAAGCCAUCCACCUGGGGAGUACGACCGCAAGGUUGAAACUCAAAUGAAUUGGCGGGG
RNAcentral lists this ribosomal RNA (393 nucleotides) under uncultured bacterium. Its description in RNAcentral is "partial 16S ribosomal RNA". It matches the Rfam family "Bacterial small subunit ribosomal RNA", at positions 523 to 918 of the family's 1533-position model. The record is from RNAcentral.